UUUUAAGUUUCAACUGCUCUCUGUUUAUACCCUGUGGCUAUAAAUUAACGUUUCAACUGCUCUGCUCUCUGUUUAUCCUUUUCUUGAAGACUCUUCAACUUCUCAAACAAAAUUCAGUUUCUCACCCAAAUUUUCGGGACGACUGCAUACCUCAACUUCUAUAAGUUUUUCUUAUAUGUAUCCUCCACUGCUUUCAUGCGUAUACGUUAUCUUCUCCGAUAGAUUGUCGUAGUGUUGCUUCAGAAAUUUUAGAUAUAUAUAAAUAUAUAUAUAUAUUCAUUCCCUCAAAUUCUUCAUCAUCACACUUAUAUACUACUGCAGUAAAAAGAAAAAAAAACUGAAGGAAAAAAGAGGCGCAUAACAUAUGCCCUCUUUUUGUCAACUGCUCUGUAUUUUAGGUUUUGUUUGAAGACUGUUCAACUUUUCAAAUCUAAUUCAGUUUCUCGCCCAAUUUUUCAAAUCCUGCGUGCCUCAAGGUCAGUAAAUUUUUUGGAUAUGUAUGUCGUAGUCUUGGUUUCAUGGUUUUAAAUUUGUUUACAUUACUUUUUCUUCUAAAAUUGUUGUAGUCAAUGCUGUUGUGGUUGCUUUGGAAAUACUGCCCUUCGACCUACAGUUUCAGAAUUCUAUAUACUUUGUUUUGCAUCCGAAUCAACAGAGUGAGGGUUUGCGAAGAAGCGUACAAAAUUCAACUUUACGUCUGCAAAAUACUCUUCAACUUCUCGCAACAAAUUUACUUUUUACGGCACUUUGACAUGGAAGAUAAGAAAAAUCUCGGAAGAAAAAAUAGAAUAUGCAUACAAAAGCAGAAACAGGCUAAAUUUUCGUUGAACGGUAUGAAAUUUAACAUUUAACAUUAUAUAUAUAUAUAUAUAUAUAUAUAUAUAUUAUUGUUAUGAAAUAAUAUAAGAACAAGAACAAUAAUACAAGAACAAGAACAAUAGAGA
Molecule: long non-coding RNA, 944 nt
Filed under: Nicotiana benthamiana
Lineage: Eukaryota; Viridiplantae; Streptophyta; Magnoliopsida; Solanales; Solanaceae
Description: long non-coding RNA (NBEN_LNC014809)
Source: RNAcentral